GUUACAACUCCCAAACCCUGUGAACAUACCUAUACGUUGCCUCGGCGGAUCAGCCCGCGCCCCGUAAAACGGGACGGCCCGCCGCAGGACCCAUAAACCCUGAAUUUUAUUGUAACUUCUGAGUUUAAAAAACAAAUAAAUCAAAACUUUCAACAACGGAUCUCUUGGUUCUGGCAUCGAUGAAGAACGCAGCAAAAUGCGAUAAGUAAUGUGAAUUGCAGAAUUCAGUGAAUCAUCGAAUCUUUGAACGCACAUUGCGCCCGCCAGUAUUCUGGCGGGCAUGCCUGUUCGAGCGUCAUUUCAACCCUCAAGCCCCCGGGUUUGGUGUUGGGGAUCGGGCUGCGGUUCUACCGCGUCCCGGCCCCGAAAUCUAGUGGCGGUCUCGCUGCAGCCUCCAUUGCGUAGUAGCUAACACCUCGCAACUGGAACGCGGCGCGGCCAAGCCGUUAAACCCCCAACUUCUGAAUGUUGACCUCGGA
RNAcentral lists this ribosomal RNA (479 nucleotides) under Fusarium sp. ES10. Its description in RNAcentral is "eukaryotic LSU rRNA". The stretch from base 145 to 298 matches the Rfam family "5.8S ribosomal RNA". The record is from RNAcentral. Lineage: Eukaryota; Fungi; Ascomycota; Sordariomycetes; Hypocreales; Nectriaceae.